RNAcentral lists this ribosomal RNA (540 nucleotides) under uncultured organism. RNAcentral's name for it is "bacterial SSU rRNA". It matches the Rfam family "Bacterial small subunit ribosomal RNA", at positions 377 to 917 of the family's 1533-position model. The record is from RNAcentral.
GAGAGCCUGAACCAGCCAAGUAGCGUGCAGGAUGACGGCCCUAUGGGUUGUAAACUGCUUUUAUAAGGGAAUAAAGUGGGAGUCGUGACUCCUUUUGUAUGUACCUUAUGAAUAAGGACCGGCUAAUUCCGUGCCAGCAGCCGCGGUAAUACGGAAGGUCCGGGCGUUAUCCGGAUUUAUUGGGUUUAAAGGGAGCGUAGGCCGGAGAUUAAGCGUGUUGUGAAAUGUAGACGCUCAACGUCUGCACUGCAGCGCGAACUGGUUUCCUUGAGUACGCACAAAGUGGGCGGAAUUCGUGGUGUAGCGGUGAAAUGCUUAGAUAUCACGAAGAACUCCGAUUGCGAAGGCAGCUCACUGGAGCGCAACUGACGCUGAAGCUCGAAAGUGCGGGUAUCGAACAGGAUUAGAUACCCUGGUAGUCCGCACGGUAAACGAUGGAUGCCCGCUGUUGGUCUGAAUAGGUCAGCGGCCAAGCGAAAGCAUUAAGCAUCCCACCUGGGGAGUACGCCGGCAACGGUGCAACUCAAAUGAAUUGACGGA